GACGAACGCUGGCGGCGUGCUUAACACAUGCAAGUCGAACGGAAAGGCCCUGCUUUUGUGGGGUGCUCGAGUGGCGAACGGGUGAGUAACACGUGAGUAACCUGCCCUUGACUUUGGGAUAACUUCAGGAAACUGGGGCUAAUACCGGAUAGGAGCUCCUGCUGCAUGGUGGGGGUUGGAAAGUUUCGGCUGUUGGGGAUGGACUCGCGGCUUAUCAGCUUGUUGGUGGGGUAGUGGCUUACCAAGGCUUUGACGGGUAGCCGGCCUGAGAGGGUGACCGGGCACAUUGGGACUGAGAUACGGCCCAGACUCCUACGGGAGGCAGCAGUGGGGAAUAUUGCACAAUGGGCGGAAGCCUGAUGCAGCAACGCCGCGUGCGGGAUGACGGCCUUCGGGUUGUAAACCGCUUUCGCCUGUGACGAAGCGUGAGUGACGGUAAUGGGUAAAGAAGCACCGGCUAACUACGUG
Molecule: ribosomal RNA, 468 nt
Filed under: uncultured bacterium
Lineage: Bacteria
Description: partial 16S ribosomal RNA
Rfam family: Bacterial small subunit ribosomal RNA
Source: RNAcentral